AUAUUGGUCAAUGGCCUAACGGCUGAACCAGCAACUUGGAGGAAUGUAUGGCAAUAGCUGGUUGCAUUAACAAAAAGUUAGUGUAAGAUCGACUCUGUCGAAUAAAAUUCUAGAUAGGAUUAUGAUAAUGACAUUUUUUAUCUAUGUGUCUUGACCAAAUUACGUGCCAGCAGUCGCGGUAAUACGUAAAAGACUAGUGUUAUUCAUCUUUAAUAGGUUUAAAGGGUACUUAGACGGUUUAUCAAGCCUGAAUAGGGAACUAAUAUACUAGAGUUUGAUGUAAGGAAGCAUGAAAGUACUGUUGGUGUAGAGAUAAAAUUCUAUCAUACCAAAUAUGGCACAGGUUUUGGCGAAAGCAUCUUCUUAUGUAAUAACUGACGUUGAAGGACGAAGGCUUUGUGUCUCGAACAGGAUUAGAUACCCCAGUAGUCUAAGCAGACAAUGAUGAAUGUCAUAGAUUAGAUUUAAUUUAUUCUAUAAAUGAAAGUGUAAGCAUUCCACCUCAAGAGUAAUUUGGCAACAUUGGAACUGAAAUCAUUAGACCGUUUCUGAAACCAGUAGUGAAGUAUGUUAUUUAAUUCGAUAAUCCGC
This 591-nucleotide ribosomal RNA is filed under the name Lecidea obluridata. RNAcentral's name for it is "SSU rRNA". It matches the Rfam family "Bacterial small subunit ribosomal RNA", at positions 361 to 962 of the family's 1533-position model. Lineage: Eukaryota; Fungi; Ascomycota; Lecanoromycetes; Lecideales; Lecideaceae. The record is from RNAcentral.